RNAcentral lists this ribosomal RNA (303 nucleotides) under uncultured bacterium. Its description in RNAcentral is "partial 16S ribosomal RNA". It matches the Rfam family "Bacterial small subunit ribosomal RNA", at positions 507 to 807 of the family's 1533-position model. The record is from RNAcentral.
AGCAGUCGCCGCGGUAAAACGGAGGAUCCAAGCGUUAUCCGGAUUUAUUGGGUUUAAAGGGUGCGUAGGCGGCUUAUUAAGUCAGGGGUGAAAGGCGGUAGCUUAACUAUCGGAGUGCCCUUGAUACUGAUGAGCUUGAAUGCAGCUGAGGUAGGCGGAAUGUGACAAGUAGCGGUGAAAUGCAUAGAUAUGUCACAGAACACCGAUUGCGAAGGCAGCUUACUAAAGUGCGAUUGACGCUGAGGCACGAAAGCGUGGGGAUCAAACAGGAUUAGAUACCCCCGUAGUCCCUGUCUCUUAUAC